UUUGUUGCUGCCAAGGAUGGCGAUAGCGAGGCAGUGGGAUGGUGGAAUGCGAUAUGGAGAUGGGUGUCGAGCGGUAGCGGUGGAGAGUUGAUGUGAACAAGAUUGAGUGCAAUGAUGGAAGAUAGAAGGGAGUUAGAGUUGUAGAUGGGAAGGGGGAAUACAGGGCAUCAGAUGUUGAUCCAGUGGUCCAAAAUGCUCAAAUCUAUUCACAUCCAAAAUAGAAGGGUUCUCAUGGACAAUUGCUUUGCAUUAUACGACUCGUUCACCCAUUUGCUUGCUUCUCUACAAGUCAUGUAACUAUGCGACUUUAACGUGGAAAAGUGAAGACAUUGGAUUCUUGUGUCGUGUUAAGUUUUCUAAUCACAUUCUAGAUAGAUUAAGCUCUAACCACAUAGAUGGUCAAAUUGCAUAAAUUUUAACACAUACCUGCUUGGUUUUGUGACGGUGUGCUAUAUGGUGAAUAUUGAAUGCACUUAUCGCCAUAUUAAAGCCAUAAUAUUACGAAAAAAAAUAUAUUCCGUAGGUUUGUAGAUCUGUGAUUAUUGUUUGUAAAUUCGCUCGAAACAUAGAAUCAUUUAAUUUGUAUAGUAUUGGUUCCCUAAAAGAAUCCUCUCAAUUCUGUUUUUUUUUUGGUAAAAAUUGGUCCAUCUUGAUUGUUGUUGGUGAGUCCAGCCAGCAAGCCCCCGCCGGUCAUGGUUUGAACACACUGAAAUUCAC
RNAcentral lists this long non-coding RNA (717 nucleotides) under Setaria viridis. RNAcentral describes it as "long non-coding RNA (SVIR_LNC003748)". Lineage: Eukaryota; Viridiplantae; Streptophyta; Magnoliopsida; Poales; Poaceae. The record is from RNAcentral.